UACGGGAGGCAGCAGUGGGGAAUAUUGCACAAUGGGCGCAAGCCUGAUGCAGCCAUGCCGCGUGUAUGAAGAAGGCCUUCGGGUUGUAAAGUACUUUCAGUCGUGAGGAAGGUGUUAAGGUUAAUAACCUUAGCAAUUGACGUUAGCGACAGAAGAAGCACCGGCUAACUCCGUGCCAGCAGCCGCGGUAAUACGGAGGGUGCGAGCGUUAAUCGGAAUUACUGGGCGUAAAGGGCACGCAGGCGGUUAAUUAAGUUGGAUGUGAAAUCCCCGGGCUUAACCUGGGAAUGGCAUUCAAGACUGGUUAGCUAGAGUCUUGUAGAGGGGGUAGAAUUCCGAUGUGUAGCGGUGAAAUGCGUAGAGAUGUGGAGGAAUACCGGUGGCGAAGGCGGCCCCUGGGACAAAGGCUGACGCUCAUGUGCGAAAGCGUGGGGAGCGAAACAGGGAUUAGAUACC
RNAcentral lists this ribosomal RNA (456 nucleotides) under uncultured bacterium. RNAcentral's name for it is "bacterial SSU rRNA". It matches the Rfam family "Bacterial small subunit ribosomal RNA", at positions 340 to 786 of the family's 1533-position model. The record is from RNAcentral.